RNAcentral lists this ribosomal RNA (500 nucleotides) under uncultured bacterium. RNAcentral describes it as "partial 16S ribosomal RNA". It matches the Rfam family "Bacterial small subunit ribosomal RNA", at positions 28 to 507 of the family's 1533-position model. The record is from RNAcentral.
GACGAACGCUGGCGGCGUGCUUAACACAUGCAAGUCGAACGGGUCUGCCCUGUUUUUUGCGGGGUGGGUCAGUGGCGAACGGGUGAGUAACACGUGAGUAACCUGCCCCUCACUUCUGGAUAACCGCUUGAAAGGGUGGCUAAUACGGGGUGUUCUGGCUGUGCCGCAUGGUGUGGCUGGGAAAGAUUCACUUUUGUGGUGUUUUGGUGGGGGAUGGGCUCGCGGCCUAUCGGCUUGGUGGUGGGGUGAUGGCCUGCCAAGGCUUUGACGGGUAGCCGGCAUGAGGGGGUGGGCGGUCACACUGGGACUGAGAUACGGCCAAGACUCCUGCGGGAGGCAGCAGUGGGGGGUAUUGCACAAUGGGCGGAAGCCUGAUGCAGCGACGUCGCGUGAGGGAUGGAGGCCUUCGGGUUGUGAACCUCUUUCGCCGGUGAAGAAGGUCCUGCUCUUUGUGGUGGGGUUGACGGUAGCCGGGUUAUGAAGCGCCGGCUAACUACGUG